UGAGUGCCGGGUCGGUGGGGACCGGGAUAACCCCUGCAGUCCAUAUGAGGGGAACAGGAGCCCAAUCCGGAGUCUGUAGUGCGUUGUGGUGGCGGGAGAGCGGCCGUCUCACCCAGGCCGACCAUGCUGCUAGGCCGCGAGGUUUGUCUGCUCGGAGCCGGCAAAGAAGUCCACAUGUGUGGUAUCAGCUUGGAGGGCAGAAAGUCCCCAUUCAUGAGUAGGUUAGAUUGUGCCGGUUUGCAGGCUUUGCUCCAUGAAAAUUUGGUUGAAUUAGCGGUAAGAUGCAGGAGCUGCUGCAGCUUGCGUCUGCU
Molecule: non-coding RNA, 311 nt
Organism: Pelobates cultripes (western spadefoot toad)
Lineage: Eukaryota; Metazoa; Chordata; Amphibia; Anura; Pelobatidae
Source: the annotation of a GenBank genome assembly